CAAUAAUUAAGAAGUUCCGGGUCGAGUCCGAUACCGAUACCAAUAGUAUAUUCACCUGGUACCUAUUACCUUAUAUGUACGUUCCGCAUCUGACAGGCGCACCACCAAACGGUGUAUUCAGGAUUAAUAUGCAAUAUACACGGGUCAUAAUCACAGGGUUGACACUACUAAAUUGUCAAAUUGUUACCUAUUGUAGUAUUUUAAUCAGUAAGACUUUCUAAGAUAACAAUACGAAUACUAAAAAUAAGGCGUAUAGGUACAGUUUUCAAUUUGUUAGCGGGCAUGACGUAAAACAGCGAAUCAAAGAAUUCAACUUUAUUUAUAAUUAAUAUAAAACAAUGCUGUUGAUUAAAAAAUACUCCAUUCCAGGACCUUUUGUUUUCCAAAUAAUUAAUAUUACCAAUAAUUGAUAAGUUCCAGUUCGACGGGUUCAAACAGAAAAAUUUAAAAGCAGAGAAAACUGUGUAUCUUAUAAUCGGCAUGACUUUAUCAGAUGACAAUACUAAUACUAAAAUAAGGCUUGCGCAUAGUUAUAUACUUUAAUUCAGUCACGGACCCGCG
Molecule: long non-coding RNA, 561 nt
Filed under: Mytilus galloprovincialis (Mediterranean mussel)
Lineage: Eukaryota; Metazoa; Mollusca; Bivalvia; Mytilida; Mytilidae
Source: RNAcentral